This 123-nucleotide ribosomal RNA is filed under the name uncultured Sphingomonas sp. Its description in RNAcentral is "partial 16S ribosomal RNA". It matches the Rfam family "Bacterial small subunit ribosomal RNA", at positions 384 to 525 of the family's 1533-position model. Lineage: Bacteria; Pseudomonadati; Pseudomonadota; Alphaproteobacteria; Sphingomonadales; Sphingomonadaceae. RNAcentral also lists the same sequence under 1 other name. The record is from RNAcentral.
UGAUCAGCAAUGCCGCGUGAGUGAUGAAGGCCUUAGGGUUGUAAAGCUCUUUUACCCGGGAUGAUAAUGACAGUACCGGGAGAAUAAGCUCCGGCUAACUCCGUGCCAGCAGCCGCGGUAAUA